This 464-nucleotide ribosomal RNA is filed under the name uncultured Klebsiella sp. RNAcentral describes it as "bacterial SSU rRNA". It matches the Rfam family "Bacterial small subunit ribosomal RNA", at positions 338 to 795 of the family's 1533-position model. The record is from RNAcentral. Lineage: Bacteria; Pseudomonadati; Pseudomonadota; Gammaproteobacteria; Enterobacterales; Enterobacteriaceae.
CCUACGGGUGGCUGCAGUGGGGAAUAUUGCACAAUGGGCGCAAGCCUGAUGCAGCCAUGCCGCGUGUGUGAAGAAGGCCUUCGGGUUGUAAAGCACUUUCAGCGGGGAGGAAGGCGGUGAGGUUAAUAACCUCAUCGAUUGACGUUACCCGCAGAAGAAGCACCGGCUAACUCCGUGCCAGCAGCCGCGGUAAUACGGAGGGUGCAAGCGUUAAUCGGAAUUACUGGGCGUAAAGCGCACGCCGGCGGUCUGUCAAGUCGGAUGUGAAAUCCCCGGGCUCAACCUGGGAACUGCAUUCGAAACUGGCAGGCUAGAGUCUUGUAGAGGGGGGUAGAAUUCCAGGUGUAGCGGUGAAAUGCGUAGAGAUCUGGAGGAAUACCGGUGGCGAAGGCGGCCCCCUGGACAAAGACUGACGCUCAGGUGCGAAAGCGUGGGGAGCAAACAGGAUUAGAACCCGGGUAGUC